CGCACGGGUGAGUAACGCGUAUGCAACCUACCUAUCAGAGGGGAAUAACCCGGCGAAAGUCGGACUAAUACCGCAUAAAACAGGGGCACCGCAUGGUGAUAUUUGUUAAAGAAAUUCGCUGAUAGAUGGGCAUGCGUUCCAUUAGGUAGUUGGUGAGGUAACGGCUCACCAAGCCGACGGUGGAUAGGGGAACUGAGAGGUUGGUCCCCCACACUGGUACUGAGACACGGACCAGACUCCUACGGGAGGCAGCAGUGAGGAAUAUUGGUCAAUGGGCGAGAGCCUGAACCAGCCAAGUCGCGUGAAGGAAGAAGGAUCUAUGGUUCGUAAACUUCUUUUGCAGGGGAAUAAAGUGCGGGACGUGUCCUGUUUUGUAUGUACCCUGAGAAUAAGGAUCGGCUAACUCCGUGCCAGCAGCCGCGGUAAUACGGAGGAUCCGAGCGUUAUCCGGAUUUAUUGGGUUUAAAGGGUGCGUAGGUGGUUUGAUAAGUCAGCGGUGAAAGUUUGCAGCUUAACUGUAAAAAUGCCGUUGAAACUGUCGGACUUGAGUGUAAAUGAGGUAGGCGGAAUGCGUGGUGUAGCGGUGAAAUGCAUAGAUAUCACGCAGAACUCCGAUUGCGAAGGCAGCUUACUAAGCUACAACUGACACUGAAGCACGAAAGCGUGGGGAUCAAACAGGAUUAGAUACCCUGGUAGUCCACGCAGUAAACGAUGAUUACUAGCUGUUUGCGAUACACAGUAAGCGGCACAGCGAAAGCGUUAAGUAAUCCACCUGGGGAGUACGCCGGCAACGGUGAAACUCAAAGGAAUUGACGGGGGCCCGCACAAGCGGAGGAACAUGUGGUUUAAUUCGAUGAUACGCGAGGAACCUUACCCGGGUUUGAACGUAGGGAGACA
Molecule: ribosomal RNA, 897 nt
Filed under: uncultured bacterium
Lineage: Bacteria
Description: bacterial SSU rRNA
Rfam family: Bacterial small subunit ribosomal RNA
Source: RNAcentral